UGCCCGCCCCUUGGAGCGGGGUUAGGGGGCCCUGGGGCUGCUCUUGGCCGCUGGGAGAACGCGGGCCUGGGCGUCUCGGUUGCUUAGACUCAGGGCUGUAUUGUCCUCGAGCUUUGAGACUCCCCAGGAGUUGCGUCUCUUCUCCAUCCCUUGCAACAGUCUGAAAAUUACCGUGUACCAGAUUCAGUUUAUGCUACUUUGAACUACCUGUAUGCUGUCCUUGAGGAUUGAAUGUGGUCAAUCUCCUUCACAAAAUGACAUUUGCUUAGUAGAUCUUCAGUAUGUCUCCACAAUAAAUAAAUAAAAAAAAAAUCCAGUGCUAGCAU
Long non-coding RNA from Canis lupus familiaris (dog), 326 nucleotides. RefSeq lists it as uncharacterized. The transcript is spliced from 2 exons. Lineage: Eukaryota; Metazoa; Chordata; Mammalia; Carnivora; Canidae. The record is from RefSeq and is a predicted model, not a curated record.